CUGUGAGCUGUGGUAGGUCGCAGACAUGGCUCUGAUCCCCCAUUGCUGUGGCUGUGGUGUAGGGCAGCAGCUGUAGCUCCGAUUUGACCCCUAGCCUGGGAACUUCCAUAUGCCUCGGGUGCGGCCCUAAAGAGUCAAAACAACAACAACAACAAAAACCCCAAACAACAACCAAAAAAACUCUUUCCCAAUAUUAUCACAAAUGAGAUAAGUCAAAUCUGUAUUAUGAGCCAUAGUAGGUGCUUAGUAAAUUAAACAGUGAUUGUAAUUAUUAAGUGCAUUAAGAACAAAUCUUGGCCUUCUGUAGAAAUAGCAGCAGAGGGAUUGAAAGAUGUCUUGGGGCUUAUUUGCAUGAAAUAUCUUAAUCUAGCAAAGCUUGUUUUUGGUUUCCAUUGAUUGAAAACGCAAACAAACCCCAACUGAAGCACUUCUUACGGAGGAAUGAAUGGAUUUCCAAUCUGUGUUUUCUUGUUUACAGUGGAAAAUAUGCAAUCCAAGGAAAACACAGGUGGUUAACUGUUCAGUGCCUUCUAUUUUUAUCAUAUGCAGAGGGCUCUAAGCAUACAAAUGCAAAUAUUUUAAGUAACAAAAAAUGAAGACUAACUUCUCAAGGUUAAAUGGCUUCAGGUUUCCUAUAGCAAAUUGAGGUCUUUCUCCUUCAGCCAUUUCUUGAAAAAGAAUUCCAGAUCCCCAUACAGACUGAAUUCCAAAACCACUCACCACAGCAAAAAGCUCGCAAUUGGCAUUUUUAAAGAAACAUUUCUUUUCGCUGGGGAUCCUUUUGUUUUGUUUUUGCAUCCUUUUUGUUUUGCAAAAUGAGUGUCUUCGAUGGGAGAGGAAAGCCACCUCCGUGGGUUGCGUGUUUGUGAAACGAAGAUGGGAACGGAGACUCGGCAGGUCCCGGGAGAAGCUGACGCGCCCCCGCGUCCCCAGCACCCCCGGCCGGGCUUGUGCGGACGUGUCUCGGGCGUGACCUCUGAGCAGCUGCGCCACCGGCUCAGCCUCGCGGCGGGAGAAACCCGAGCUCCCAACAAAACAGUUCCAUCUUUGGCAAGUCCUCUGAUACCAGGUGGUCAGCAGAGGCUCAGAAGCUUUACAUCUUUACAAGAGGAAGUCUCCUUUCUAAUAUCAUCCCCCCCGUCCCCAAACUGAUUCCACUUGGCCUCUACCUGCCUGAGGUACUGGAAUGCAGAGUUGAAAUUGACAAAAAUAAUGCUUCUUUUCCAGGGCCGAAAUUUCCGGGCCCCAUAAUAGUAGGUAACAUUUACAGAGUGCUUAUUCUGAGCUACGCACUUUGAUGCAAUAACUCAUUGGAGCCUCACAACAAUCCUGUGAAUCCUCGGAAGUAGGAAUUCUUAUUAUCCCUUUUUUGCAGGCAAUGAAACAAGCACAGAGAGGUUGGGCAAUGUGCUUGGGGUCACACAGCUAGGAAAUGGUAGGGUUGGGAUUGAAAUUUAGGCAAGUCUUGCUCCAGAGCCUGUGCUUAUAACUGCUUUGCUCACCAGGUGAAAGAUACUGUGUUUUGGAAUUUGUCUCCUAGCACACUGGGUCUUGACAAGGUGGAGAAAGGAGCUCUAGGAAGUUUGGAAAUCAGACGUGGCCAAGUCAGGAUCUUCUGAAAUGUUCCGACGUGGUCAGAAAGAGCUGGGGUCUGUGGGGGUGUGGUGUACAGUGGUCACUAGGAAUUGCGUGCUCUCUGUUUUGGAAGUGUUGGAAGUUUGUUAACGCUCAGCUUGUCAUUCUCAGUCUGGGGUCCCUGGCAGUUUGACUUAUAGGAAAGAGAUAGGACUGGCAGUAAGUAGCAGGAGGUCAGGAUUGUCACCUUGGCCACAAGUGUUGGUCUGAAAAAAAGGAGGGGUGUGAGAGCAGCCCAGCUGGGACCUUACCUGAGAGUCGGGGGAGGGCCUGGUCUCAUCUUCAUGGCCUCAGAAGGUAUGCCAGGCCUCCUCUUCUGAAGCCUGGGUCUGGCAGGCCGAUUCAUUGCUAGACAGAAGUUGUCAAGGAGUCAGGCUUUGCCUCUGCCUUGAGGACUGCCCUGUCCUGGUAUCCAUGUCUGGGGAAUGGAGUGAGCCAUUAGAGGAUGCUUUUGAGGGGAGGGCAGGGAACGAGCCUAGGUUCUAGGAUAGUUUGAGGGCUCAUUUCUCCACACCAU
Molecule: long non-coding RNA, 2152 nt
Filed under: Sus scrofa (pig)
Lineage: Eukaryota; Metazoa; Chordata; Mammalia; Artiodactyla; Suidae
Description: lncRNA (ENSSSCG00050048003.1)
Source: RNAcentral